UGGGGAAUAUUGCGCAAUGGGCGCAAGCCUGAUGCAGCCAUGCCGCGUGUGUGAAGAAGGCCUUCGGGUUGUAAAGCACUUUCAGCGAGGAGGAAGGCGUUAAGGUUAAUAACCUUGGCGAUUGACGUUACUCGCAGAAGAAGCACCGGCUAACUCCGUGCCAGUAGCCGCGGUAAUACGGAGGGUGCAAGCGUUAAUCGGAAUUACUGGGCGUAAAGCGCACGCAGGCGGUUUGUUAAGUCAGAUGUGAAAUCCCCGAGCUUAACUUGGGAACUGCAUUUGAAACUGGCAAGCUAGAGUCUUGUAGAGGGGGGUAGAAUUCCAGGUGUAGCGGUGAAAUGCGUAGAGAUCUGGAGGAAUACCGGUGGCGAAGGCGGCCCCCUGGACAAAGACUGACGCUCAGGUGCGAAAGCGUGGGGCAGCAAACAGGAUUAGAUACCCUGGUAGUCCAGCGCUGUAAACGAUGUCGAUUUGGAGGUUGU
This 482-nucleotide ribosomal RNA is filed under the name uncultured bacterium. Its description in RNAcentral is "partial 16S ribosomal RNA". It matches the Rfam family "Bacterial small subunit ribosomal RNA", at positions 355 to 827 of the family's 1533-position model. The record is from RNAcentral.